Molecule: ribosomal RNA, 253 nt
Filed under: uncultured bacterium
Lineage: Bacteria
Description: partial 16S ribosomal RNA
Rfam family: Bacterial small subunit ribosomal RNA
Source: RNAcentral
UACAGAGGUCCCGAGCGUUGUUCGGAUUCACUGGGCGUAAAGGGUGCGUAGGUGGCAUGGUAAGUUUGAUGUGAAAGCUCAGGGCUCAACCCUGAAAUGGCAUUGAAUACUACUGUGCUGGAGGUUUGGAGGGGGGACUGGAAUUCUCGGCGUAGCAGUGAAAUGCGUAGAUAUCGAGAGGAACACCAGUGGCGAAGGCGAGUCCCUGGACAACACCUGACACUGAGGCACGAAAGCUUGGGUAGCGAACGGG